GGACAGAUGGGAGCUUGCUCCCUGAUGUUAGCGGCGGACGGGUGAGUAACACGUGGGUAACCUGCCUGUAAGACUGGGAUAACUCCGGGAAACCGGGGCUAAUACCGGAUGCUUGUUUGAACCGCAUGGUUCAAACAUAAAAGGUGGCUUCGGCUACCACUUACAGAUGGACCCGCGGCGCAUUAGCUAGUUGGUGAGGUAACGGCUCACCAAGGCAACGAUGCGUAGCCGACCUGAGAGGGUGAUCGGCCACACUGGGACUGAGACACGGCCCAGACUCCUACGGGAGGCAGCAGUAGGGAAUCUUCCGCAAUGGACGAAAGUCUGACGGAGCAACGCCGCGUGAGUGAUGAAGGUUUUCGGAUC
Molecule: ribosomal RNA, 366 nt
Filed under: Bacillus sp. LT83
Lineage: Bacteria; Bacillati; Bacillota; Bacilli; Caryophanales; Bacillaceae
Description: bacterial SSU rRNA
Rfam family: Bacterial small subunit ribosomal RNA
Source: RNAcentral